CAUUCGCGCGCCUCGGCGGUGACCCCAUGGCGGGCUGCCGGGUCGGAGCGGUCCCCCGCGUCCCUCCUUCCCCGCUCGGCGCUCUCUACUCCCAGCGCAGCUGCCGCCUCCCUCCGCUCUUCCCAUCUCGCCAGAGCCGCCGCACCCGGAGGCGACCGGCGUUGCUCCGUCUCGAGCUGCCCGUUCCCUUCUCUCCCCCGACGACCGGCGCAGGAGAGAGAAAGAGGAGAGGGAGGUGUGGCGGCGGACGGGAGAGGGUCGACCUCGCGGUCGGUGGCUGCUUGAUCUGAGAGAAAGAGGAGAGGGAGGUGUGGCGGCAGACGGGGGAGGGCCAACCUCGCGGUCAGUGGCGGCUAGGAUCACCGGUGCUGAUUUGCUCCUUCAUCUUCUGUUGUGCGUUUGCUCACUGUGUUUGUUCCUAGGUCGGCACCGUUGUUGUCACCGGGCAGAAUGGCCAUGGGCAGGCUCAGGAAUGAAUGUUCUAGGGUUGGAGCCGAGGGGGUUGAGCAGCAGCUGAGCUUAGGCAUGAAUUUACAGAUUCAAGAUUUUCUUACACAUGGGGCUUUGCAAGUUCAUUGUCUCACACAUCCUUUAUGUUGCAGUAUUUUGUUUGGCGGAGGUUGUCCGAUCUAGAAGUUCAGAGCGACCAAUGCAAGGAGGACCAAGAUCUGAGAUGGAUCAGUUGAGGGUCGAAUGCUUCAAUGGUUCCAGAAAGCUUCAUCCACAAUCAUGACAAAUAUUUCCAUUGAUGUCACAAAGCAUACCAAGAAUUUGAAUUGAGCUUUGCUCUCCAAGUGCAGAACAAUUUCCCACUCCCCAUCGAUGAUGAUCUUCUGGGCAGCUCUUUUAGCACCACACAAGCUAUUCCGAAAGGUCAUUAAGCUUAUUGUAGUGCCAACUUCUGUAAAGAUGCUUGUCCUGUUUACAGUAUGCUCCCUUUGACAAAUCAACAGAAGUGUACAAAUUCAUUUGAAUGGAUUCGCAAGGUAUUUUCAUUAGCAAUGCCACAAGGCAUCAGAAAGCACAAGUAACGAGAACAAUUAGUUCAGUUUGCAUACCAUAGUUUUACUCAUCCUAAAUUGUGUUAAAUUAAUCUGCUACAGUAUGAUGAUAACAGAGGGGCACUAUUUUUUUAUUGUUCCAAUUAUAUAGGGCCCUCUGCAAAGAUAUUGAUAUCAUUGGGUGUAGAUGUUUAGUUGGACAAAUAUUGUUCGUCAGUUUCUUAGUGCGUGCCUAGGUGUUUCCCCCUUUUACGUUGCUUCAUUUUUAUAGGAUUUCUUGAAAUAUAAUAACUUGCUUCAACAAUUGUAGAAUGAUCAUGGUUUCUUUGCAUUCCUAUACUUUCGUACGAUUAAAAAUUUCAUGGCUAUCCUGGUCCCGGGUAAGAAACAGACAUCAUUGGCAUUAGCCAAUGCAUUUGCGUUAAAUGCCCUCCUGGUCGUUCUUCUUUAGUGGGUGUUUGUAUUUUCCAAAAAGAAGUUGGUGCACCUCAUAGUUGUUUCGUAGCAUGACUAUUAUGUCUAGAUUUUGCUGUAUAAUACAAAACUAAGUAGUUCGCUAUAUCAGCUGGCUAUGUGUGUCGCUUCAUAGUUUAAAACUUUAGCUACAAGCCUACAAUCAUUAGUACCGUUCAGUUUAUUUUUUAUGGAAAAACAGGGUAGAGCUCUAACGACUACUCUCAGGCUAUCUACGAGAGCCAACAGCCAAGAUUAUCUUUUAAGUAGAUCCCGUAUCUUUGAACAACGGAUUCUGAUUCUGUUAGAGAUGUUUCAAUGCAUUUUUUAUCAGUUGCGCUACUACAUUUUACUACUGAUUUGAGCUGCCUUAUUCCCAGAUAGUGAAUAUCUAAAUUAUUGACAUUCACUAAAAUAAAUACACAAGAGUUGUAUUAAAGGAAACCACUUAUCUUUUUAAUUAGAAAUUAGAAAUGCAGAUGCAGUUGACCAAUGUUUAGCGUCCUAACAAUGUUCAGGUUGCACAUGCAUACCAGAACACUGAGGGGUGGUCUUACAAAUGACAACUACUUUCAUGUUAGUAAUUUCUUCUGUUUGAGAUAUUCCACGACCCUGCUUUGCUAGCUCCAGUCAUUCAAUUUAUCAUUAUAUCCACCAUAUUUUUAUGCUCUGCAUUCCUAAUCUGCCGGUCACAAGAAACUGUAGUAUAAUGUUAGGUCGCACAUUCUUUUUGUUUCAUGGUUCAGUAGAGGUCUCACGGUGAGCAGCAACACUAGGUUGCAGUAUAAUGUCAGCUAAUUGCAACAUCCUGAGUUAUUUUAUCAAAGUUUUUCAUCUGGAAGCUCGAAUAUCUUUUGACUUUCAGUACACAUCUAUUCCGAUUUGGUAGAGAAGAUCAGAAGAAGCUUUUAUAUCAUAUUUUUGUGUGCUUUUUCUGUAGAAAAAUUACCAUGGGUUGAUGGUUUUGAAUCCAAUUACUAUAUGAUAUAAUUGACUGCUAUUCCUAAGAAUUGCUCCUGGACACAGUGCUCAAUCUUAUCAUGUCUCACAUACUAUUGUGCUGCCUAUCUGUAUAGUUACUCGGAUCAUUUCUACAGAUGAAAAUGUUCAUACAGAAGAAAAUUUUCAUCUGUGCUCCUGGACAUUUUUGCAAGCUUUGCUCUCCAAGUGCAGAACAAUUUCUAUCUGAACACCCAUCAUUAGUGCGACAGGUCAAGGCUUAUCUUGUGGUGUGUCGGCAGCGCGACUGUACGCCACUGUUACUAGGUUGUUUCAUUUCUACAGCAACACAGGCAAUGCUUAUGUAUUGCACAUAUUUUUAUUUCUUUUGAUUUUGCCUUGGUUGUUAUUUAUGCCUAUAGCCUCAUGUAUGGGAUCCUAUUUCAGGGCACCGUUUUCAAUGGUUAGUUGAGGUGCUUCUGGUUUUCUGAAUGAGUACAUAGAUCUUCUUUUUAAAUAGCACGGAUAGAGGACCAGAAAAGAGAUACUUUUCUUGUUGGUGCACUUGCAAGUAUAUGCGGAUCUGUACCUUAGAUUUCCUUGCCUUUGGCUGGCUGUCCUUUUCUUUUGCUAGGCCAUCAAAUUGCUUUCAACUCGAGCGGGAUUUGUUGCAACCUCCUAUUUGUGACGUGGUGCCGCCAAAGGCAGGCUGACUACAUAGUAAUUGUUAGUACUCUUUGAUGAUAGAGAAGUGAAGAUCUUGUUGUUACUGCAAACUCAGGCUAUGUUGUUGAAAAUGACAUCAGGGGACAUGUAUAUUGAACAUGUGUUGAUCCACUAAUGGCAAAUCAGCUACCAGCUGGCUAUCAAGACUUUGCUUAGGUGUUAUUAGCCGCUACAUCCUCCGCUUCAUUGAGCCUCGACCCCCCACUCUUCUGAGGUUUCGUCAGAACACGACAACUGUUCGUCACCUAAAAGGACAGGAUGACACCAAAGGAGUUAUGAUAGCAGCACUUAUAGGCAUUGAGGAAUUGGCAAAGAGAUUACGCUUCAUAGGUAUGAAGUUAGAACAACGGCUGGAACUAUGAAAGGCCGUUUCUAAUUACCUUUGUUGGAUCUGUCUUACCUACAAUGCAUGUGUGACCCUUGGAGAAGCCACUUUUUGUUUCGUCUGCAGUAUACUCCAUGUUUAGUUCCAAUGAUGCCCUAACCCUUUUGUUCCUGCUCUGAAGAAUAGGACAUGUAUAGGCUUCAGAUUUUUGUAAUCAUCUAUGUGCUAAACAUCCCUUUGUGGUCAUGUGUUCUUUAUGUAAUCAAGUAUCUAUUCAUGAUGAUAUAUAUGCCCAGCUAAUGUUUGAAAAGAUCCAUCAUCUGUAUCACCACUGCUGGAUAACCACUAUAAAUCUACUAGCAGUACCGGUCAUAUA
Molecule: long non-coding RNA, 3820 nt
Organism: Aegilops tauschii subsp. strangulata
Lineage: Eukaryota; Viridiplantae; Streptophyta; Magnoliopsida; Poales; Poaceae
Source: RefSeq, a predicted model, not a curated record